Apis florea (little honeybee) is the source of this 608-nucleotide long non-coding RNA. RefSeq lists it as uncharacterized. The record is from RefSeq and is a predicted model, not a curated record. NCBI's taxonomy places the organism in Eukaryota, Metazoa, Arthropoda, Insecta, Hymenoptera, Apidae.
GGUGCAGCUGCAGCGGAAGGGGGCGCACGACUCAGCUACGUCUGUCACCAGCCUCAACUCUCGUCGACGGCUCGCCGCAGCUGCAGCACAGCAGCCAUGCUCUGCUGCGGCCGCAGGAAAAAACACUUGGUCGAAUUAACACCGAAAAGAUAUUGACUGGGACAGAUACAAGAUCGGUGGAUUAAUUCUAUUUCAGUGUCUCUGAUAUUAUGCUGGAAUACUUGUGGAAUCAAUAUUAAGUUCCCAAAAGCAUUUUAUGAAUUCAAUAAAAGUGACCUAGUUGAAGAGGAACACUCUGAUGUGUGCUUGGUGAAAGUAGAACAAGACAAAUAGAAUGAGAUAUAUGUGUGUGUGUGUGUGUCUGUAUUAACUACAGAAAGAGGAGUUUCCCGAAAAUUUUAUUGCAUUCGUCUACCAUUCAGAAAAUUCGACUCUUAAACCAUUAACUACAAAAAAGUUUUAUAACUGAUCCAUGAAAACACAAUUUUAACCUGGGAAAAGAAUAUUCAAUUUAUAUUGCAAUCUAUAUAUAUUUUUUAUAUUGCAAUCUCAGUAAUAUAUCAUCAAAAAUCAAAUUUGACUAACUUGAUAAAUUAAGCAGAAAUAUU